RNAcentral lists this long non-coding RNA (23025 nucleotides) under Capsicum annuum. RNAcentral describes it as "long non-coding RNA (CANN_LNC012081)". Lineage: Eukaryota; Viridiplantae; Streptophyta; Magnoliopsida; Solanales; Solanaceae. The record is from RNAcentral.
CCGUACCCGACCUGGCCCAUCGUCCGUCACACCCUUAAUCACCCUAACCCUUCACUUUUUCUCCAUCAUUGAAAUGUAACCCAGACAUCAACAAAAAAAUAUAUGGGUUCCCUCCUUUUCCUUUCUGUAAGCAGCAUAUUCUACUAGACCACCGGAUAAUGGAAAAUCCGAUGGUCUUCAGCCUUAUCCUCCACUUUUCCAUUAGUCCUGCAAUUCAUCCUUCAACUUUAUAUCAUUUCAAUAGCAUUUUCAGCUUAAAUCAUACCCUAAAGAGAUUUCCACUGCCCUGCGACCCCUGCAAAGUUGAAAAGUUGAAGGUCCAUUGGGUUUGAGAUUGUUAACCUCCUGAUUUUAUGAGUCUGAAAGAGGGAGCUUCCAAAUUUCCCUUUUCCCCUUUUUACAUCAGCCAGCAAAGAUGGGGAAGAUGAGUCCUUUUCCUGCCUCCAAUUUUACUCUGUAAUUUGGGGUCUUUUUGAGAAUCUAAAUUUGAAUUCUUAAGGCCUCACUUGAGGACCGUUGCAAACUCCUUCUCAAAUUUGGCUAUAAAAGAGACUUUGGGCUCUCAUUUUUGGGGAGCAAGAAAAGCAAGCAAAAAAACAAGAAUAACCAAGUAAGGAAAUCAGAAGAAGAUAUUACAAUUAGUUCGUAUUACUAUUUCUAUCUCGUUUUCUCGCUCUCUUUUCGAAGUUGAAGUUUGAGUUCGAGUUCAAAUUUUCGAUGAGGAGCCCCCCUAGUUCGCUGCUCCACACAAGGUCAGCCCUCUUUCUCUCCUCUUUUGUUUAUGUCAUUCGACCCUUAUUAUGGGAAGACUCAAUCUAAUCUGUUUAGAUUACUGGCUUUCAUAUCAUUUCUUUAUGUGUCACUAUUUCGUCAACACGUUUAUCUUUGGCCUAGUUACAUGUUGGGGAAUAAGUGUGUUGGUUUUUAAAUCCUUUUUCAAAGCUCUGCUAUUUAUAUCACAGAGUAAUGUCGUUACCCAAGUCGUUAUUCAUUUUUUCUCUCUGAGAUACAUGAAUAUAAUUUGUUUUGGCUUUCUGAUUCACUCAACUUGGUCACUGCGUGGGGUUUGCUUUGUACUUUAAAUGUGCAAUAAUAUGUAGAUUAGAGUAAACAACAAUAUGGAUUGGAAAGGUUGUGUCUGGUCGAAAAUAAAGAGUAUGUUGAUCUACUAUGUAAAAUUCAUCUUGUUAUCUCGUCUCUGUCUCUUUCCAGCCGGUCUAUUCUUGUUCUGUGAAUACGUAAAUUGGUUUUGGCUUUAAACUAGAUUGAUGUUGUUAUCUGUUUUCUGGCAAAUUGAGUUCAAGAACAUGUGUUGACUUGAUUGACCUUUAUUUCAACAUACAGUUGUUUUACGUCUAAACGUACGAAUUUGCUCUUCCAUCUCACUUUCACCAUCUUUUCUGUUAUCUCGUCUAGAUUUCGUGAACAUGUUGUCUUGUGUGAAGUCGUACCAAAAUUUGAAAUGUUGUCGUAGACUCUAUAAAAAAUGGUGUUGUAUGUAUGUUGCUUACCCCGUUUUAGUAUCACCUAAGAAUCAAAUAUAGAUUCAUCUUAAGUUUCUGUGGUUUUACUGUAUGUGUCCGUUUCAUACCUAAAAUACUCCAUACAUGAAUAACCCAUUCCCCUUUUGUUGUUUAUUAAUGAAUACGAUCCUGUGGAGACUUGGAAGGCUAUGCUCCAUUAGGCACCUUGUUGGUGUGUCUGGUUACUUUCUUUGAGUUAAGGAGCAUAAUCUGAUUUUCCUCAUUUAUUAAGGCCACUUUUUGUUUCAAACUUCACUGUUUCUCUUUUUGUUUCUUUGUUUUCGUUGUUUGUUUUCUGUAAAGUAAACCAACAACAAUGACAUUCAUGCCUUAUAUUCUGUAGUUGUAGUUUUGUACUUGUGUUUUACCUUUGUUUAGCUAACAUUUUAAAGUGUCCCAACUGGAAACACUCUGUGAUAUACUAACCUAUCGCCAGGAUCCUUUCCUGUGUCUUAACUAUUCUUCAACAUCUAAUUAUAAUUUUAUAUCAUAGUAGCAGAAAAUAUUAACCAAGCUGUAGAAAUUUUGUUUGUCGAGAUAAGCCAUAGACAUCUCUAUAGGGCAGCAUGUUCCUCUAAAAUUUUUCUGUCCAGUGAACGUCUUUAGUGUCCUACUUGUCAUUUUUGUAGAGUGAGUUCUAGAAAGAGUAUGUGAGUUAUCCCGUCUUCUUUUGUUCAUCACCUAUUCUAUCUCGUUUAUACCAUAGAGGCUGUUUACAAGUGAAUAUGAAAUGUGUACGUUGGUUGGUUGAUAAUAUGGGUUCAAAUCACUGUCAGAAUAGUAUAAGAACAAAAAUGAUUCACUAAAAUGAUUUCGAUUUCACAUAUUAGCUGUUCGAUGAAUCUUUGCCAAAUUGUUUAUAGUUCGGAUUGUCAUUUUAAAAUCUGAAGCUAACCCCCCCGCGCGCUUACACUUUAGUAAAGCCGGUUUCUUCCCUUAUUCCUGUCAUUUAUAAUAUUUGCAUGUAUCGGUUGAUUGAUUUCUUUUAAAAUGCAAAGUUCAUUAACUUACUAAUCUAGUUCAUCUUAGCUGUCAAAUAUAUUCAACAACAAAAUGUUUGAGAUCGUUUUGACAUCGAUUUGGUUGUUUUUUUCUCUUUUAGACGUGGUAAGGAUCACUUGAAUAUGUAUAUGUUUGGCCUAAAAUAUGUUGACUGCUUGAUCUUAUUACAGAAGGAUUCUUAAAAGGUCUGAGAUUUGACGAAAGCUUGCUUGCGAUCAUGGAAUGUUAUAACUUCUUCUUUUGCUUGAACGCAUACAUGUGACUACACAUUGGGUCAAAUAUAUAUUCUGUUGUUGUGUCACUACAUGAUCAACUUGCAAAAUAACUUGAAAAUGUUGUGUCGUUUAAAGGAAACUACAGGAUCCUCAGAAGAAAAAUAAACGUGUGUCCAUGGAGUUAAAUCUGGAUCAUGUUUCAAACUUCUGUAGUAUAUUUAUAUUUACAAAGAUAUUGAGUUCAUUGAAAUUGUUGUGCUCACUUGAUAGCUUUAAAGGAUUCUAUGAACAUGGAUUGUAUCUUUACCUAGACUACGCAUGUUGUGGGAGUUAAACGUUAGUUUCGAACUCAUAUACGUUCAGAUUUGCUGUGAUGUUUGUGAAAGUGAUAUGUUAGAUCUCUUUUGCCUAGAAAUUGUCCUUUGCUUGGAGUUUAUGAUGCUGGUAGUUUGCUAAUCGAGCCAUCAAUGUUUGUCAAGAAGUCUAAAUAACACUAAAAUACCGACUAUAUUUUAUCUUUGACGCCACUCUAAAAUACAAGAUACGAGCCUGCAACCACUGUCAAUUUGGUCUGUUCACUAGUGCCUUUUGGGGGAGUCUUGGAGAGUUGGAAAUGGAGGCUUUGAUAUUAUUUUCAGUAUCUUUGGAAUGGUUUUAUAUUCAGUGACAUUGUGUAACAGUGAGGUUCCACUAUUUUGCUCAUUAGCGUACUUUUUGAACCAUUGAUGUAAGGUUCUUGCAAGUUAAGUUUAUAUAUCAUGGGCUACUGUAGUUAUAACAAGCAUUAGAAAGGGGAGAUGUGGUGUUAGUUAUAACUUAAAAGGAUUUAAGUUACAUACAAUAUCAUUGUAUGUAAUAUGGUUUACCUUCCUUAUUUUUGAAAUUACCAAUCCACUCAUGAAAUAGAAAUUAUUGUAGUUGGCUUUUUCUUAUAAGAUGGUAAAUUAUUCUUUCCACCGUAUGUGUAUGUAAAGAACCACUUAAUCCGUAGUUUUUGUUCCUAGAAAAGUAGAAAGCUGGUGUUCCCAUAGAUUAUUAUUACUCUUAUCAGAUUUAGAUUUAUUGGUGUUAUUCAGUUUAGGUAUUUUGAUGGAUAUAUCAUUGAGACUGUUGCAUUUUGGUGCUGUUUAAGCCUUUACAGUAUCCUUCAAUAUGGAACAAUUUUUAUUCACCAGAAUUUUUUUUCGUUAUCUUUCCCUUUAUUCUAUGAUGUGAAGCGUGUCUAAUACUUUGGUAUUUAGUUUUUUUUUUUUUUUUUUUAAGUAGGAAUAACCUCUUGGUUUUUUUUUCUAACUAGAUGAAGAGAUCAUAUUCCUAUGUUUAUGUUAACCCCCUGAUCAUAUUCCUACUCAAACCCCUGCUUAAAGGUUUCUGAAUUUGAUUUUUCUCAUCUUACAGGAUCUAUUUUACUUUGGUAUUAAAAUUGUAUUGUCUAAAUUGCGAAAUUGUGAAUUCAUCUGUUUUGUCUAGUUUAUUGCAUUUAAUCUUCGCUUGUAAUACUUGGUAGAACAUCCCCUUUUCUAAUUUUUAUUUCUCCUUUGUUUUAUAUGUACACUCGGGAGCGCAUUUAGGGUCCCACGAUUUGACUCCAUCUGUCCAAAUCAGAGAAUAAUAGAUCAUUUUGUAUUUCAUCUAGCAGUCCAGUGUCUCUUUCCNNNNNNNNNNNCUCUUUCAAGAUAUUCUUUGUAGACGCUACUUAUAUUUUUUCUGCAUAUUAUUAUUUUGGAUCUAUGUUUUGUAUGUUUCUUAUUUGAAUUAGUAUGAAUCUUUAAAUAAUUUUAGCAAAUUUAAUUGUUUUCUUUCUACUCCUUAGAUUUUAAGUUUAGCAAAUCACUAGGCUUUGGUAUUUAAUUUAUAUCGUUAAAAGGUUUAAAUUUGGUAGGUAAAAUAUGUAUCUUUUAGAAUAAAUUGCUUUAUCUUUAGAAUUAAAUUAGUUUCUCAUUACUUACUAAUGUCGAAAUAAUAAAAUAUAGGUUUUUGCGGUAGGCGAAUUUAUCGUCGUUAGACUCGGAAAUUGGCUUUAAUUAUUUUAGAUAUGGUAAAUCAAUUCCGUUGUCAUCAAUCUUAAAUAACAUUUAUAUUUUUGCCAAUUUGGUUCCACAAGGCCUUUUUGAGGAUUUCAAAUAAUAAUAAUAAAAUAUUUUUAUUACAUGAGUCUUUUCGCAAAAAACUAGAUCCUUAGCUAUUCAUUUAGUGUAGGAUAAUUAACUCAUUUAGUGUAGGAUAAUUAACUCAUUUUUAUAAAAAUUAGAUUAAGAAAAAAAAAAACGCAAAAGAUUCAUCUAUUCUCGGAAUAAGAAAUCUUUUUUUUUUCUACCUUAUUUUAUUUAUUGUUCAUUUUUUUUUUUCAAUUAAAAAGCUUUGUGAAAUCAUUUGAAAUAAUUUCAUCAUUGUUAAAUGGUUGUAUAAAAAUUAUUUAAGUAAUGUUCGAAAAGUAGAUUUAUGGGAGGGUGCUCUAAAAUUUUUCUAACCGUUUUUUCUUAUAAAUAACUAGUGUAUGUUACGUUUAGAAAGACAUGUAUUUUUUUUUAAGUUUUGCCUAUAUCCUUUUCUUAAUUUAAUAUUUGAUUUUCUUAUCUAAUCUAAGUUUGGCCGGUUAACCGUAGUUAGCGAAUUUUUUAGGGUGCCUAAUCCCUUCCCUUUAGGAUAAUUAGAACCAUUAUCCAGAAUUUUAGGUUGCGUAGACCUUAAAUGGAAUCUUUAAUUAAUCACAUAGUUUAUAAUAGGUGUCCUAAUUCGCCGUAGAACUAGUUAGGUGAUGACUUCCUUAAAUCUAAUUAGAAAGUUUUUCAAUAUGUUGUACGCUAUUUUGACCUCGUGUUAAAAUGGGGUAUACCAAGAUUCAUUAAUACUUUUGGUCCAUUAUCAUAAAGUGAACAUUGUGAGAUCAUGAAAAAUGAUUACGAUUUCAGAUAAUGUUAUAAGUUAUUUGUUAAAGAAAUGACAAUAAAAAAUAAGAGAGUGAAAAUUGACUACUAUUGAGACUUUACUCAAAAUAUUUUUCUUGAAGCAAAAAUAAUUUAAAUUCAUAAAAAUUAUAUUAUGACUACGAUAAUGUGAAGGAAUACAAAAUCUAUUUAGAAAGAAAAAUCUAUCAAGACAAGAAAUGAGAAGGAGUAACUCCUUUCUUCCCCAUAUAGGAGGGUGCAAAUUAAAAUAUUGAAUAAAAUAAUUUAAAUUUCAAGUUAAAAUUUUAUGAAGAAGCCUCAUGUAUAUAACUCUAAAGCACACCAUUCAUUAGUUCUUUGUUUUUCUAACCAAAUUUAGUAGUAAGUUACUUUACUAAUAAUAAUUAUGUUAAAUAUACAUUUUCUUUUGAAAUUAUGUGAGUUUUUUUACAAAUUAUAAACCAAUAUAGAACACAAUAUUAUCUUACAUGAGAAAAUUGAAGGAAAGGUGUAAUUUAAGUCUUGAAUGAAGGAUUGGUGACAUUGACCAACUUAAAUGGUCAAACAUAAUUAGAAAAUUUGAUUAAGUUAAUUGUGGACUUGAUUAAUAUUUUCAAAACUUUCAAUCUUUUCAAAAAUAUAAAUUAACUCACACCCCUCUUCUUUCCAAAUCAACCGUUUCUACCCUCUGUCUCUCCACAGUUUCUCCCAACCAACAGUUCUGCAAAUUUAUCCUUUUAAUCUCCAGCGACAAAUAGUUGGGUUUCGAGUUCCUUUUCGACUUUCAACUGUCAAUCGACGUGACAGCCUUGCUCUCUGGCCACAACAACUUCGAAUUCUUCAUCGUCUCUUUUCUUCUUUCACAGAUAAAAAAUUAUGACGUUUUUAGAUUUGAAGAAAGCGAGGAACUCGAGCCAACUUCUCAUCUAGUAUUGGUUAAAAAUUUUAAUAUGUAUUGCUUUAAUUUGAAAUGCGGUUUGAAUAAAACUCUAAUGUCUAGUAUUUCUUCUCUUCUCUUUUUGGAGCGAAUUGUGAUUUUUUGUUGUUUGUUGCAUUUUUUUUGAAGUUUGAUUUUUUUUGGUUUGUGUUUAUAUAAACAAAAUAAUGAUUUUGGUGUUUUUCGUGUUGCACCCGUUGCUGGACUGAUUUGUUCUUGUUCUUGAUAAAAAUGAUGAUAUUGUUGUUGUUCUAUUGAACAAAAUUAUGCUACUAUUUUUUCUACAACAUAUUAUACAUCUUGAUCAACAAAUUAACCAUCUGAUGUAACAAAUUAACCAUCCAAUGCAACAGAUUUAACAUGUGAUUUUAAUACCUAGCAAAAAUUCUAAGCUUAACUCAAUCCUUUAGAGCAUGAUCAAAGGUCCUAGACUUAGAAAUUUCAGCUAAGUGUUUAUAUUUAAAGCUAUUUUAGCCAAAAAAUUUCAGCUAAGUGUUUAUAUUUAAAGCUAUUUUAGCCUUCGUAAGUUGGCGAUCCUAUUUUAUGAUCCUUACAGCCUUAAAAUAUCAAUUUUUAGGUUGAUUCAUGAUUAGGAAUGUCAGUAGGUGUUCUUAGAAUAGUUUCUAAUUUUUCGAACCUCGUUUGAGGCACAUUUGAAAGUAUAAACUAGUGUAUCGACGCGAUCCCGAUGAGCCGUGUCGCCUAUCGCGUCGAUAGAUAUUUUUCCCUAGCUCCCAGUGCAAAUUCCAAUGAGCCGACGCGAUCUCGACGUGUCGCGGCGUCCAUCGUGUCGACCCCAUUGACGCGGUGCGUCGGUCUGCGCGUUGCUGGGCACAAUUUCUGCUCUUUUAGUUCCGCAUCCAGAGGGAUAAUUAAGUCAUUUUCUCUACUUCUAUCAGCCCCAAAAAAGGAGAUUAAGUCUUUCUAAAGGCAAAUUUCACUAAUUAUUCACCAAUUCUCUCAAUAACAAACCCUAACCCAUCAAAUUCAAGAUUCAAGACCCAAGAAAUUCACCACAACUUUCAGAGAAUUAACAAUCAGGGUAUGUUGGGCGUUCAUCCAAUGAUUUCCUUCCACCCUUGGAGUUCAAGAACCUCUUUUAAAAACUUCAAGUUGAUUACUUUAAUGAAUCUCAUGCUGAAUUUAAUUGUAUUCAUGUUCAUGGUAUGAUUUGGGCUUCAAUCUAUGAUUUACUACAAGUCUAAUAAAAUUUAUGUAGCAUGUGUGGUGAAUUAUGUGAUUAGCAUGUUAAACCCUUGAAAUUACUUUUGAUUAUUGUAUCCAUGAUGUUCAUGUGUUGACUAUUAUUAAGUGAAAUAAUCCAUGCUCCCCAAAUGUUUGAUAUAAUGUUCAUGUGAGUUAAAUAGUGAAAUCAUGAUAUGUUAGUAUGUAUACAUGUUUACACCAUGCAAGUGUUUGCUAAAAUGCCUGAAUGGAUGAAUUGUGGCAAAGUGUCUAGUUAUCAUGCGUUCAAGAUUGUGCUAUGCUUUACAAUUUACGCAAUCGAGUCUGGGGGUAUCUAAUACCCGACAAUCUAGCUGUUUACCUAAAUUUAUAGUAGUUUUAGAAUAGUCUCAGUGAUAUCAGAUCCAGUAGUACUCAGUCAGUUACAGAAUUCAGUAUACUUAGUCAGUUAACAGAAUUCAGUGUAUUUAGUGUGCUCAGUCAGUUAAUAGAACUCAGUUCAGUUCAGUUAGACAACACGAUCAGUAACAGUUCAGUCAAGCCUAGUACAGUCUAGAAAUCAUUUCAGUGUCUAUUCAGUUGGGAGUAGGAAUUAGCACCGAGCGAACCCAAGGAUAGGGGCCUUCCUGCCAGCAGAGAGUUUGACACUUAGUAGCAAUCCCUGCGUUACAUAACUACGUAGCCAGCGUAGGUUGAGAUAUUUUCCUGUUAGACUAGGGUUGAUACAUUUCGUAUGAGUUUUCCUGCGAGUAAGGGUUGACGAAAUAUCUUCCUGCCAGAGGAGGUUAACUCAUAGCCAUUGUCAGUAUCCUUUGGCAAGGUGCUAACACCCUUCCAACUGGGGUAACAGGUUGGACCCCAACUGAAUCAAUAAUCGAGGUAUGUCGGUUAGAUGAACACUCCCACAAUCACAGUUUCAGUUUCAGACACAGUGUAAAACCUCAGUUUAGUUUUCCAGAAUCAGGACUGUCAGACACAGUCACUCAGCUCAGUACGAAACUAAGUUUAGUUUCACAGAAUCAGGACUGUCAGAAACAGUCCCCCAGUUAUCAGUAAAUCAGUCAUCAGUAAUCUCAGUUACAGUAAAGUAGAUUUGCACGCAACAUUGCAUAAUCAGUAGUUAGAGCAGUUUUGGAUAUACAUGUACUCUCAUUCAGUUAUAUUCAUGUUAUUCAGUCAAUUAUUGUUCAUGCAUUUGAACCCAUGCAUUUAGCCUUACCUCACCUAGCAUACUAGUACAUUCAAAGUACUAACACAUACCUUUCUUUUGUGCUAUAAUGUCUUAUAUCAUAAGUUCAGACGCACGGGCUCCUGACCAUUCUUAGAAGCCCAGCCUAUCAGUAGCAUAUCUAGUGGUGAGUCCUCAUAGUCUGAGGAUGGAGCUAUCAUUUAAAUAUUUCAGUAUUCAGUUAUAUUCAAAAGUCGGAGUUAGUUGGGGACUUGUCCCAUCAACUCCAUAUUCAGACAGUUAGAGGCUUUCAGGCUAGAUUAUUUAGAACAGAUGUUCAGUUUACAAUAUUUAUUUAUCAGUACUUGAUUUUAGUUAUGAACAUUAUGGCAGAUUCAGCAUAAUUUUUACAUUAUUACAGUGUUAUUAUUCAGUGAUUGCAGUAGGUACCAGUCAUGGGUUAGCUUGUGGUCCUUUGGGAUUAUAAGCACCGUGUAGUGUCUGGGGUACAGACUCGGGGCGUUACAAACUUGGUAUCAGAGCCUAAGGUUCAACCGAGUCCUAGGGAGUCUGAAAGCCGCAUCUAGUAGAGUCUUGUGCAUGGGUGUGUAGCGCGCCACACUUAUGAACAAGAGGCUAUGAGGUAUUUUAGGAAAAGUUUCCCUUCUUUCAGUAUUCGUAUUGUGCGAGUGAGCAUGAGCUCAAGUUACAGUCUCAGUCUAAUCCUUCUCUUACUUCCGUUUAUAGAAUAUGUAUCCUAAAAAGACUAACGGGAGAAGAACGGGAAAUCAGCCAGCACCUCCGCCCGUCCAGCCAGAUCCCCUGGACAAGUAUGUCUCCCACAUAGAAUUCAGAACAGCUUUCACCACACUAGCUCAUUCUGUGGUAGCCUAGAAUAAAUGCCCAACUGCUGUUCAGUCCAACCCAGUGGCCAAUACUAUUGUAGAUAGAAUUUGGGACUUUACCCGGAUGAAUCCCCCAUCAUUUACCGGGUCUAAGUCAGAUGAGGACCUACAGGAAUUCCUUGAUCAAGUGUAGAAAGUCACAAAUAUUAUGGGGGUGACUUCUAGUGAGAGUGCUGAGUUAGCUGCAUAUCAAUUGCAGGAUGGGGAUCAUACAUGGUUUAAGUAGUGGAAGACAGAUAGAGGCGAAGAUGCAGGGCCCGUAGAAUGGGAGGAGUUUGCUACUGCUUUCCUUGAUAGGUUCUUUCCACUGGAGUUGAGGAAAGCUAAGGUUUUGGAAUUUAUUAAUCUAAAAUAGGGCAAUAUGACAGUGAAAAAGUAUUCUCUCAAGUUUACUCAGUUGGCUAGAUAUGCCCCUCAUGUGGUAGCAGAUAGUAGAUCUUAGAUGAGUAAGUUUGUGUUUGGUGUGUCUAACAGUGUGGUCAAGGAGUGUAAGACUGCAAUACUGAUUAAGAAAAUGGACAUAUCCAGGCUCAUGGUCCAUGCUUAGUAGAUAGAAGAGGCUAAGAAUAAGAAGAAGGAGAGAGAGAAUAAGAGUGCUAGAACAGGUAGCUUCAACUUCACCCAGCCUAAGUCAGAGGAUAGAAAUCAUUCUCAAUUUUGCCUUAAAUCCUCAGUUCCAUCUCCGUCCUUAGCCAGUGCUCCAGUACCAAAAUUCAGAGACAACAAUAAAAAUAGGGCCCCAGGCCCUAAACCCCAGGGUAGUGUUAGCAGUGCUCGAACAAAUCCUCUUUGCCAGAAGUGUGGCAAAAACCAUCAGGGUGUCUGCAGGGCUGGCAGUGAUGUAUGUUUUGAAUGUGGAAAGCUAGGCCAUAGGGUCAGAGAGUGUUCUCAGGUGGGUUCGCAGAUUCAGCAUGAUCGCCCCCAGCUUAGUUCGGUCCCCCGAAUUAGCAGGGUGUCACUUCUAGUGCCACCAGUGGGCAACGCCCAAACAGACUCCAUGCACUCCAAUCUCGACAGGAUUAGGAAAGUUCCUCUAAUAUGGUCACUGGUACGUUACAAGUUUAUCAUUUACAUGUUUAUGCUUUGCUAGAUCCAAGAGCUUCUUUGUUCUUUGUAACUCCUUAUAUAGCGGUUGACUUCGGAGUCAGUCUCGAAAUCCUAGCAGAGCCCUUCUUAGUCUCUACCCCAGUAGGUAAAUCUAUCAUAGUCCGACAGGUAUAUAGGAACUGUCUGGUUAUGGUAUCUCAAAAAGUUACAUCAGCAGACUUAGUAGAGCUAAAGAUGAUAGAUUUUGAUAUCAUUCUCAGCAUGGAUUGAAUUUAUUCAUGCUAUGCUUCAGUUGACUGCAGAAAUAAAAUUAUCUAUUUUCGAUUUCUGAAUGAACUUGUCCUUAAAUUGAGGGGUAGUACUUCAGCACUUAGGGUUCAACUUGUUUCUUACCUUAGGGCGAGAAAAAUGAUGUCUAAGGGAUGUCUCUAUUAUCUCGUUCGAGUUCAAGACUCUAGUUCAGACACCCCUAAUCUUGAGUCAGUAUCAGUAGCAUGUGAAUUUUUAGAUAUUUUUCCCAAAGAUCUUCCUGAAGUCCCUCCCGAUCGGGAAAUUGACUUCGUAAUAAACCUUCUUUCAGAUACUCAGCCCAUCUCUAUUUUGCCAUACAGAAUGGCUCCAGCAGAACUCAAAUAUUUAAAAGAACAGUUGAAAAAUCUCCUAGAUAAGGGAUUCAUCAGACCCAGUGUAUCCCCUUGGGGUGCACCAGUUCUAUUUAUGCAUAAGAAAGAUGGUUCUCUCAGAAUGUGUAUAAACUACCAUCAGCUAAAUAAAGUCACGAUCAAGAACAAGCAUCCACUUCCCAGAAUCGAUGAGUUAUUUGACCAACUUCAAGGUGCCAGCUACUUUUCUAAGAUAGUCCUCAAAUCAGGCUAUCAUCAGCUCGGAGUCAAAGAAUGUAACAUUCCAAAAAUAGCUUUCAAAACUCAGUAUUGUCACUUCAAAUUCUUAGUCAUGUCAUUUGGUCUAACCAAUACCCCAGCAACCUUCAUGGACUUGAUGAACCGCGUGUUCAAGGAGUACUUGGACUUGUUUGUCAUAGUUUUUAUUGAUGACAUUCUUGUCUACUCCCGCAGUGAAACUGAUCAUGCAGACCAUCUCAAAAUAGUGUUACAUACCCUCAGAGGCCAUCAGUUGUUCUCCAAAUUCAGUAAAUGCGAAUUUUGUCUGAGGUCAGUAGCUUUUCUUGGUCAUAUCAUUUUCGGUGAUGGCAUUAAAGUUGAUCCUCAAAAAAUUGAAGUAGUGAGAAACUAGCCCAGGCCUAUCACUCCAUUAGAUAUCAGGAGUUUCUUGGGUUUGGCCGACUUUUACCGAUGGAUUAUUGAGGGAUUUUCAUCUAUUGCAUCCUCUAUGUCCAGAUUGAAUCAGAAGAAGUCAAGUUCUAGUGGUUAAAUUCUUGUGAGAAAAGUUUUCAGGAGUUAAAGACUCGACUCACUUCAGCCUCAGUUUUGACUCUACCAAAUGGUUCAGUCGGGUUUAAGGUAUAUUGUGAUGCUUCCAGAGUUGGUUUGGGGUGUGUUUUGGUGCAGAGUGGUAAGGUCAUAGCCCAUGCCUCUAGACAACUUAAGCCCCAUGAUAAGAACUAUCCCACUCAUGAUCUUGAGUUAGCAACUGUAGUGUUUUCCUUAAAGAUUUGGAGGCAUUAUUUGUAUGGAGUACAUGUUGAUGUGUUUACAGUCCAUAAGAGCCUGCAAUAUGUGCUUUCUAAAAAAGAACAGAACCUACGUCAGAGAAGGUGGUUAGAGUUGUUAAAAGACUGUGACAUAAGUGUUCUGUAUUAUCCGAGCAAGGCUAAUGUAAUUGUUGAUGCUCUCAGUAGGAUGACAAUGGGUAGUGUUGCUCACGUGGAGGAUGGCAAGAAAAAGUUAGUUUAGGAAGUUCGCCAGCUUGCUCGAAUAGGUGUCCUCUUUGUCAAUUCAGCAGAGGGUAGCGUAUGGGUGUAAAAUAGUUUGGAAUCGUAUUUGGUUUCUAAAGUGAAAGAAAAGCAAGUCAGGAAUCCUUGUUUAGUUAAACUGAAGGAGUCAGUCAGAGAUUAGAAAAAAGAGAUUUUCUCCCAAAAGGGAGAUGGUGUGUUACACUGCCAGGGUAGACUAUGUGUACCAUGUGUGGACAUGUGAGACAGCGAAUUCUUGAAGAAGCACAUGGUUCGCACUACUCGAUUCACCCAGGGGCUACUACGAUGUACCGUGACUUGCGGGAAGUCUAUUUGUGGAGUGGGAUGAAGAUAGAUAUAACAGAGUUUGUAGCUAGGUGCUCAACAUGUCAACAGGUUAAAAUCGAGCAUUAGAAACCUAGUGGAGCUAUGCAGGAGUUCAGUAUUCCCACUUGGAAGUGGGAGGAGGUGAAUAUGGAUUUUGUGAUAGGUUUGCCUCGUACUCGCCGCCAGCAUGAUUCGAUCUGGGUCAUUGUGGACAUGAUGACCAAAUCAGCUCAUUUCUUACCAAUUCAUACCUCUUAUUCUGCCGAGGAUUAUGCCAAACUCUAUGUCAGAGAGUUGGUCAAAUUGCACGGAGUUCCAUUGACCAUCAUUUCAGAUAGAGAUACACAGUUCACUUCUCACUUCUGGAAAGCCUUCUAAAAGGAUCUUGGUACCCAAGUUUGCCUCAGUACAUCCUUCCACUCUCAGACAAAUGGUCAAGCAGAAAGGACUAUUCAAACUCUAGAAAAUAUAUUAAGAGCGUGUACUAUUAACUUUAAGGAUAGUUGGGAUGACCACUUGCCUUUGAUUGAGUUUGCAUAUAAUAAUAGCUAUUAUUCCAGUAUUCAGAUGGUUCCGUCUGAGGUGCUCUAUGGGAGGAGAUGUAGAUCCCCCAUUGGUUGGUUUGAAGUGGGUGAGACCGCAAUGGUAGGGCCUGACUUGGUAUUUGAUACCUUAAAAAAGGUUUAGUUGAUCAGGGAAAGACUUAAAACAGCUCAGAGCCGACAGAAGUCGUAUAUGGAUGUGCAAAUAAAAGAUCUCGAGUUUGAGAUUGGUGAUUUUAUGUAUUUGAAAAAUUCUCCUAUGAAAGAAGUGAACAGCUUUGGCAAAAAGGGGAAGCUCAGUUCCCGAUAUAUCGGUCCUUACCGAAUCCUUAGCUGUUUCGGAAAGGUAGCUUUCGAGCUUGAGUUGCCUUUAGACUUAGCUUCAGUGCACCCAGUGUUUCAUGUAUCCUUGCUAAAGAAGUGCAUAGGUGACCCAACAGUUGUAGUCCCUAUAGAGGGUAUAGAUGUUCAAAACAUCCUCUCUUAUAAAGAGAUCCCACUCAAAAUUAUCGAUCAUCAGGUUCGCAGACCGAGGAACAAAUAAGUUUAUUUGGUUAAGGUUCUUUGGUGGAAUCAGUCCGUUGAGGGAGCUACUUGGGAAGAAGAAGCAGAUAUGUGAACCAAGAAUCCUCACCUCUUCUCCGCAAACUCAGAAUCAACUCAAGGUAACAGUUCUCCUUGAAUUUACUCAGUCCCAUGUUCAGAUUUCCUUUAAGAUUUUGAUAUCAGUUCAGUUGCAUAGCAUUCUCAUAUCAUGCAUACCUUCAUAAAAUAGCUCAGUCAUGUGUUAUGCCUUCAUAAUUCAGUCAUGCUUCAGUUAUGCAUGUUCAGUAUGAAAACUCAGUAUAUCAGUCGUUUCAGUCAUGAAGUCAUACUUCAGUUGUGCAUGUCUAGUAUGUAAAUUCAAUCUAUCAUUAUUCUCAGCUAAGUCUCUUCGAGGACGAAUGAUCCCAAGGGGGAGAUAUUGUAAUACCCCGCAAAAUUUCUAAGCUUAACUCAGUCCUUUAGAGCAUGAUGAGAGGUCCCAGACUUAGAAAUUUCAGCUAAGUAUUUAUACUUAAAGUUAUUUUAGCUUUCAUAAGUUGGAGAUCCUAUUUUGCAAUCCUUACAACCUUAAAAUACUUAUUUUUAGGUUGAUUCAUGAUCAGGAAUGUCAGUAGGUGUUCUCAAAUGAGUUUCAGAUUUUUUAGACCUCAUUUGAGGCACAUUUAGAAGUCCAAACCAGUGGAUCAACGCAAUCCCGACACGCCGCGUCACCUAUCAUGUCGAUAGAUAUUUUUCCCCAGCUCCCAGUUCAAAUUCCAGUAAGCGACGCGAUCUUGACAUGUCGCAUUGGCCAUCGCAUCGACCCCAUCGAUGCGGCGCGUCAGUUUGUGCGUCGUCGGGCACGAUUUCUGCUCUUUUAAUUUUGUAUCUAGAGGGGUAAUUAAGUUAUUUUCCCUUCUUCAAUCAACCCCAAAACACGGGAUUAACCCUUUCUAAAGGCAAAUUUCACUCAUUAUUCACCAAUUCUCUCAAUAACAAACCUUAACCCAUCAAAUUCAAGAUUCAAGACCCAAGAAAUUCACCACAACUUUCAGAGAAUUAACAAUCAAGGUAUGUUGGGUGUUCAUCCAAGGGUUUGCUUCCUUCCUUGGUGUUCAAGAACCUCUUUGAAAAACUUCAAGUUGAUUGCUUUCAUGAAUCUCAUGCAGAAUUUAAUUGUAUUCAUGUUCAUAGUAUGAUUUGUGUUUCAAUCUAUGAUUUACUACAAGUCUAAUAAAAUUUAUGUAGCAUGUGUGGUGAAUUAUGUGAUUAGCAUGUUAAACCCUUGAAAUUACUUUUGAUUAUUGUAUCUAUGAUGUUCAUGUGUUGACUAUUAUUAAGUGAAAUAAUCCAUGUUCCCCAAGUGUUUGAUUUAAUGUUCAUGUGAGUUAAAUAGUGAAAUCAUGACAUGUUAGUAUGUAUACAAGUUUACACCAUGCAAGUGUCUGCUAAAAUGCCUGAAUGGAUGAAUUGUGACAACGUAACCUGCUAGGUUGAGAUAUCUUCCUUCCAGACUUGGGUUGAUACAUCUCGUAUGAGUUUUUCUGCCAGCGAGGGUUGGCGAAAUAUCUUCCUGCCAGAGAGGGUUAACUCAUAGCCAUUGUUAGAAUCCCUUGGCAAUGUGCAAACACCCUUCCAACUGGGGUCUUGGAUCCCAACUUAGUCAAUAAUUGGGGUAUGUUGAUUAGAUGAACACUCCCACAGUUAUAGUUUCUAUUUAUGACUCAAUGUAAAGACUCAAUUCAGUUUUCCCAAAUUAGGACUGUCAGACACAGUCACUCAGCUCAGUACGGAGCUAAGUUUAGUUCCACAGAAUCAGGACUGUCAGAAAUAGUCACCCAAUUAUCAGUAAAUCAGUCAUCAGUAAUUUCAGUUAUAGUAAAGUAGAUUUUCACGCAGCAUUGCAUAAUUAGUACUUACAGCAGUUUCAGAUAUACAUUUACUCUCAUUUAGUUAUAUUCAUGUUAUUCAGUCAGUUAUUGUUCAUGUAUAUGAACCCAUGCAUUCAGCCUUACCUCACCUAGCAUACCAGUACAUUCAAAGUACUGACGCAUACCUUUCUUUUGCGCUAUGAUGUCUUAUAUCAUUGGUUCAGACGCAUGGUCUCCUGAUCAUUCUUAGCAGCCCAGCCUGUCAAAAACAGUUCUAGUGGUGAGUCCUCAUACUCCGAGGACAGAGCUAUCAUUUCGGUAUUUUAGUAUUCAGUUUUAUUCAGUAGUCAAAUUUAGUUGGGGACUUGUCCCAUCAACUCUAUAUUCAGACAUUUAGAGGCUUUUAGGCUAGAUUAUUUCAGACUAAUAUUCAGUUUAAAGUAUUUAUUUAUUAGUACUUGAUUUCAGUUAUAAACCUUGUGGCAGAUUCAGCUUAAUUUCCUCAUUAUUACAUUAUUAUUAUUCAGUGAUUGCAACAGGUACUAGUCAUGGGUUAGCUUGUGGUUCUUCGGGAUUAUGAACACUGUGUGGCAUUCGGGGUAUAAACUCGAAGCGUUACAAACUUGGUGUCAGAGCCUAAGGUUCAAUAGAGUCCUAGGGAGUCUGAAAGCCGCAUCUAGUAGAGUCUUGUGCAUGGGUGUGUAGCGCGCCACACUUAUGAACAAGAGGUUAUGAGGUGUUUUAGGAAAAUUUUCCCUUCUUUCAGUAUUCGUAUCGUGAGAGUGAGCAUGAGCUCAAGUUACAAUCUCAGUCCAAUCCUUCUCUUACUUCCAUUUAUAGAAUGUGUCUUCCAAAAAGACUAAUGGAAGAAGAACGGGAAAUCAGCCUGCACCUCCACCCAUCCAGCUAGAUCCCUUGGACGAGCAUGUCUCCCACGCAGAAUUCAAAGCAACUUUCACCACUCUAGCUCAUUCUAUGGUAGCCUAAAAUUAAUGCCCAGCUACCAUUCAAGCCAACCCAGUGGCCAAUACUGCUGCAGCUAGAAUUUGGGACUUCACCCAAAUGAAUCCCUCAUCAUUUACCAGGUCUAAGUCAUAUGAGGACCCAUAGGAAUUCAUUGAUUAUGUGCAGAAAUUCACAGAUAUUAUGGGGUUAAUUCCAGUGAAAGUGCUAAGUUAGCUUGUAAUAUCCCAUAAUUUUUCUAGCUUAAAUCCGUUCUUAGAAUGUUAAGGUAUAGCUUCCAAAAAUGAAGAAUAAUUAUUUCGUGUGGAAUUUUCUAGAUUUAGACCUCCUAUUUUGUGGGAAAUUAAAUAAGCCUUCCAGCGAUAUAAGAUUCGCCCAAAUCCAACACUCAGUGAAGAGUUAUGGCACUUUUAAGUUGACGGUGUUCCACCUGGGCACUUGGCGCAUCGCGGAGAAGGAAAAAUCUGUAAUUUUCAAAUUUCAGUGGCCCUCCGCGAUAGCCCCGCAUUGUGGAGAAGACCAUUUUCUCAAUUUUCUCAUUCCAGUGGUCCUCCGCGAUGUUGGCGCGUCGUACCGAAGGCCAAAUUGGUAUUUUUAUAAUGCACCGCGCUGGUGGUGCAUCACAUUGAAGUUCUAGGUCCCAAUUGUCAAAUUCCAGUGGGACAGCGCGAUAGCUCCGCAUCGCGGAGUACCCACAUUUCCUAGUUGUUAAUUUCCAGUGAGCCACUGCGAUAGUGGUGCGUCGUGGUGGCCCACUAAAUUGGGAUUUUUGGUUGUUUUCCAGUUAUGAUUUAAAAGUUUAAACGGGGUAUUUUGGUCGAUUCCCAGGGUCCUAAUCCAUAUUAAACAAAGAAUUAAACCCCUUCAAAGCACAUUACAUCCACUUUUCAUCAAUUCUCUCUUAAGCAAAAUCCUAGACCAUCAAACUUUCUCCCCAAGAAAUCCAAAUUCCUCCAUUAAUUCUCCAAGGAAAUUCAAGAUUUAGGAUUCUCAAUUCAAGAACUCUAAGCAUCCAUCUCCAAAGACACAAUGGGAAUCCAAGAUUCAAGCCUUUCAUCAAAGAUCAUCAAUUAAGGUGUGUAGGGUUAUGAACAAGGACAAUCCUUUCGUCCUUGUGCCUAAAACUUAUUUUAAAUUUAAAUUUUACUGGAGUUUAUAUGAUUUUCCAUGAAAUUCAAGUUAGGGUUUAUACCCAUUAUUGUUAUUUACAGGCUUAUGAUAUUUCCAAUGAUUUAGAAGUUGAAUGAUAUGAUUUGUUCAUAUUUUUCAUACAUAUUGCAGUAAUUUUCAGAUUUUUAAUUAAAUUAUCAAUGGCUAUAUUAUCAAGCAUGGACACCUUGAUGUUUUGACAUGAAAUUGAUACAUGGAUCAUUAAGUCCUAAUUAAAGAAAUUUGUGCUAUGAGCACCCUAUGAUAAGAUUAUUCUCAGAUUUUUGGUAAAGAUUUGACCUUUUGGUCCUAAGCUAAGAUAAAGAAUCCACAUUAUUCAUAUGAUUUGAGAUUUAAAGAAAGAAAAGCAUAAUUAGUUUUCUUGUAAACCCUUGUGCUAUAUUUUUUAAGUGAAUUUCUUAAGAUCCUGAGAAUAAGAAUAGGAGUAGUAUUUAGCACUGAGAUGGGUAUGUUACCAAGGUUUCAUGUCCCAGAACUACGUUCCCCCGUAGGAUUAAGAUUAUUCUCACUUCUACUUGGAUGACUAAGAUUGUGAUCAAUUAAGAUAAGAAGUUUUAUUCUGAUGGCAAGGGUAGAAGAGGCUCUCCCCAACGUGGGUAAGACGUUGGACUCUAUGAAUGCUCACAUGGUUUAUGUCGAUUAGAAGAACCUCCCAGAAAAUGUCCCCUGUUGCUUUAAAUCCCUAAGAUAAAAGCAUAUGUUUUGGAAGUUAUGGUUUUAAGAUUCUUAAAGUCUUGAGAUGAAGUAUUUCCCUUACAGUUGACAAGAUAAUGUGGCAGUUUUCAGAAAGAACAGAUUUGAGAACUAAAUGUAAUGGCUCAGAAGAUUUAUAUUAUAUGUUUUAUUGUUCAUGAUUUAUGAUCUUUAGUUUUUAGAUUACUCAAGCCUAUGUGAGUCAUUUACAUUAAGCAUGCAUAAUUUAAGAAGUUGCGAUGAUAUUGUUUACUUAUUGCAUUCACCUCCAUAUGCUCAGCACAUUUCCAAAGUACUGAUCCACAUAUACGCCUGUGUGCUACAUUGUGUCAUAAUGUAGGUUCAGGUGUUUAGUCUCAGCAGUGUGAGUGAUUUUUGAGCAUCUCAUCUAUAUCUAUGCAAUUGGUAAAUCAUCCUAGUUCGGGAACUUAGCUAUUCAGAUUCCCAGUUUAUUUGUAGAUAUUUCAGUAUUCAUUUCAGACAGUUUGAGUCAGCUGAGGCCUGUCCUUGUGACUCGUUAGAUUCAGUCAGUAAAGGGUUGUCGGACUACUAGAUUCAGUUUUAAACUUUUGAUUCAGUAUUUAAAUUUUUCAGUAUUGUUUUACCAAGACUUGUGAGAUUAGUAUGUUUUAGAUAAGAUUUCCAUAUUUAUUAUGAUUUUACAUUCAUAUUCCCUAUUUUGAGAUUCAGAUUUAGUAGAAGGCAACCACGGUUAGCUCAGGACUACUUGUAGUUCGGAGCACCAUGUGGCAUCUCGAGAAUCAGUUUUUGGGCUGUUACAAAUUUGGUAUCAGAGCCUAAGGUUUAGAAAGUCCUAGGGAGUCAGACAAGCCGCGUUACAAAGAGUCUUGAUCAUCGGUGUGAAAUGCUCCACAUCUAUAAGCAAGAGGCUAUAGAGCGUUUUAGGAAAUCAUCUCUUCUUUCAUGAUCUAUCGUGCAUACAGUGUCUCUAUCUGCUUUUAACUUGUGCUUUCACAUGACAAAAAAUGCCUCUUUGUUAACCUAACACACGCAGAAAUGAUAAACAGCCACCUCAGUCCACAGAUUCUUUGAAUGAGAAUGUGUCUUAUGCAGAGUUUUGGGCUAUCUUUCAGGUGCUAGCCCAAGAUGUGACAGCAAUGUUCAGGGCAAAUGUCAGGCUGCAGUCCCACUUCAGCGAGACGGGGACUUAGCCACAGCCAAAAUUUGAGAUUUUAUGAGAAUGAACCUGCCAAAAUUCUUUAGGUCGAAGGCAGGUGAGGACCCAUAAUUUAAUCUUAACGAGGUUAAGAAGAUCACCCGAAUUAUGCAUGUUUCUAAAGAGGAGAGUGUAGAAUUGGCAUCCUAUAGGCUAAAAGAUGUUGCAUAUGAUUGGGUGGUGAUAUGGAAGAAAAUCAUAGGGGAGAAUACAGCUCCUAUGAAUUGGCAGAUGUUUCAGGAUGCGUUCUUAGACAAGUUCUUCCUAUGUGAGAUAAGGAAAGCUAAGAUAGAAGAGUUCAUAAACCUGAGGCAGAGCUCAAUGAUAGUGAAGGAGUAUUGCCUCAAGUUUAACCAGUUUUCCAAGUAUGCCCCUGAUCAAAUGGCUGACCCUAAGUCAACCAUGAGUAAGUUUGUGAUCGGUGUGUCUAGGUUGGUAGUUAAGGAGUGUAGGACUACCAUGCUCAUUGGAGACGUGGAUCUUGCUAGAUUAAUGAUGCAUGCUCAGUAGAUUGAGGCAGAGAAGUUAAAGGAGAGAGAGAGUAAAUAAGAAGGCUAAAACUGGGCAGUUUGAGUAUGGAUAGUCUAGAUCUCAAAGAGGAAAUCAUUCACAGUUUUAGAAUCAUUCAUCUAUGCCCGCACCUUCUUCAGCCAGUGCUCCAGCACCCAUAAAUAGGCAGGAACAGUGGAGUAAGUCUUAUAUGUCCAGAUCUCAGAAUAGUGUGAGUGGUAGGCAUGAUCAGUAUGAAAACUCAGUAUAUCAGUAGUUUCAGUCAUGAAAUCAUGCUUCAGUUGUGCAUGUCCAUUAUGUAAGUUCAAUAUAUCAGUAUUCGCAGCUUAGUCUCAUUCGAGGGUGAAUGAUCCCAAGGGGGAGAUAUUGUAAUACCCCGCAAAAAUUAUAAGCUUAACUUAGUCCUUUAGAGCAUAAUGAGAGGUCCCAAACUUAGAAAUUUCAGCUAAGUGUUUAUACUUAAAGUUAUUUUAGCCUUUGUAAGUUGGUGAUCCUAUUUUACAAUCCUUACAACCUUAAAAUAUCGAUUUUUAGGUUGAUUCAUGAUCAGGAAUGUCAGUAGGUGUUCUCAGACGAGUUUUGGAUUUUUUGAACCUCAUUAUAGGCACGUUUGGAAGUCCAAACCAGUGGAUCAAUGCGAUCCCAAUGCGUCGCGUCGCGUCACCUAUCGCAUCGAUAGAUAUUUUCCCCCAGCUCCUAGUGCAAAUUCUAGUGAGCCGAUGAAAUAUCGACGCGUCGCGUCGGCCAUCGCGUUGAUCCCAUCGAUGCGACACAUCAAUUUGUGCGUCGUUGGGCACGAUUUAUGCUCAUUUAAUUCUACGUCUAGAGGGGUAAUUAAGUCAUUUUUCCUACUUCUAUCAGCCCAAAACACAAGAUUAAGCCUUUCUAAAGGCAAAUUUCACUCAUUAUUCACCAACUCGCUCAAUAACAAACCCUAAAUCAUUAAAUUCAAGAUUCAAGACCCACAAAAUUCAUCACAACUUUCAGAGAAUUAACAAUCAAGCUUUGGUGGGUGUUCAUCCAAGGGUUUUCUUCCACCCUUGGAGUUUAAGAACCUCUUUUAAAAACUUCAAGUUGAUUGCUUUAAUGAAUUUCAUGUUGAAUUUAAUUGUAUUUAUGUUCAUGGUAUGAUUUGGGCUUUAAUCUAUGAUUUACUACAACUCUAAUAAAAUUUAUGUAGCAUGUGUGGUGAAUUUGUGAUUAGCAUGUUAAACCCUUGAAAUUAUAAUUGAUUAUUGUAUCCAUGAUGUUAAUGUGUUGACUAUUAUUAAGUGAAAUAAUCCAUGCUCCCCAAGUGUUUGGUAUAAUGUUCAUGUGAGUUAAAUAGUGAAAUCAUGACAUGAUAGUAUGUAUACAAGUUUACACCAUGCAAGUGUUAGCUAAAAUGCCUGAAUGGAUGAAUUGUGAUAAAGUGUCUAGUUAUCAUACUUUCAAGAUUGUGCAAUGUUUUACAAUUUAUGCAAUCGAAUCCUGGGGGUAUCUUAUACCUGACAAUCUAGCUAUUUACCUAGAUUUACAGUAGUUUCAGAAUAGUCUCAGUGAUAUCAGAUCCAGUAGUACUCAGUCAGUUACAGAAUUCAGUAUACUCAGUCAAUUAACAGAAUUCAGUGUACUCAAUUAGUUAAUAGAACUCGAUGAACUCAGUUCAGUUCAGUUAGACAACACGAUCAGUAAUAGUUCAGUUAAGCUUAGUACAGUCUACUAUUUAGUUGGGAGUAGGAAUUAGCACCGAGCGAACCCAGGGAUGGGGAAUUCCUGCUAGUAGAGGGUUUGAUCCUUAGUAGCAAUCCCUACAUUACCGAACUACGUAGCCAGCAUAGGUUGAGAUAUCUUCAUGCCAGACUAGGGUUGAUACAUCUCAUACGAGUUUUCCUUCCAACGAGGGUUGACGAAAUUUCUUCCUACCAGAGAGGGUUAACUCAUAGCUAUUGUUAGUGUCCUUAAGAAAGGUGCUAACACCCUUCCAACUGGGGUCAUAGGUUGGACCCAACUCAGUCAAUAAUCGAGGUAUGUCAAUUUGAUAAACACUUUCACAGUCAUAGUUUUAGUUCCAGACGCAGUGUAAAACCUUAGUUUAGUUUUCCACAAUAAAGACUGUCAGAUACAGUCACUCAUCUCAGUACAAAACUAAGUUUAGUUUCACAGAAUCAGGACUGUCACAAACAGUCACCCAGUUAUCAGUAAAUCAAUCAUCAGUAAUCUCAGUUACAGUAAAGUAGAUUUGCACACAUUAUUGCAUAAUCAGUACUUAUAGCAUUUUCUGAUACACAUGUACUCUCAUUCAGUUAUAUUCAUGUUAUUCAGUCAUUUAUUGUUCAUGCAUAUGAACCCAUGCAUUUAGCCUUACCUCACCUAGCAUACCAGUACAUUCAAAGUACUAACACAUACCUUUCUCUUAUGCUAUGAUGUCUUAUAUUAUAGGUUCAGACGUACAGGCUCGUAACCAUUCUUAGCAGCCCAACCGCUUCAGUAGCAGAUCAAGUGGUAAAUCCUCAUAGACCAAG